RNAcentral lists this long non-coding RNA (609 nucleotides) under Numida meleagris (helmeted guineafowl). Its description in RNAcentral is "lncRNA (ENSNMEG00000022059.1)". Lineage: Eukaryota; Metazoa; Chordata; Aves; Galliformes; Numididae. The record is from RNAcentral.
CCAAAAUCUACAAAAUGAUUUAUGACUGUAGCUCCUUUCUAGGCACCAACACUCACCAUGAAAUUGAUGGGAGGAUAGGAACCUAAAUAUGGAUCUUGCCUUGUGUCUUGUUGAUCCCAGUGCUUUGUCUUUAUAGCUGCUUUUUCUCUAACCUUCUCCAUAUUUCCUGGAGUCCUGAUUGACAACUAUUUCAAGGCUCACUUUGUGAUACAAGAAUGAAGGAAGAUAGUUGUUUCUGGGCUCCAACUACUGAGAUUUUGUGUUGACAAAAUGUGGUGUCUAACGUGUCUUGCAGUUUAUAUGGGAGGUCAGUCAUUACUCUGGCUUUGAAGGUGCUCUUGGACUGGUCCUUAUGUGAACUUGGCUGUCUAUCAGCAGCAUGACUACACAGUUUAGCUCUAUUCAGGCUAAAACCCAGGAGGACGGAAGCAGACAAAGAGGAAGAAGUCUGAGAAGAAUACAACAAUUCUUUCUUCCAGGAAAGUUUGGAUUGAGCACAGGUGCUGACCAGAGACACUUAGGAAAAGAUUUCUUACCUGAAGAUGUUACUUACAUCUCAUUUCACCAACAUGCUGACUGAAUUAAUAAAUGUAAUCCCCACCAACCUCA